This is a non-coding RNA of Zootermopsis nevadensis, 212 nucleotides long. Lineage: Eukaryota; Metazoa; Arthropoda; Insecta; Blattodea; Termopsidae. The record is from RefSeq and is a predicted model, not a curated record.
AUCUAGGAGUGGGGGAAGCGAGGGGUUUCGCGUCGCUCAGACGCGCAACUAGUUGGAAGCCAAGCGCGUCAGUUUUGUAAAGUUCUCCAAGCGGUGGAGUUGUAAGUAUUAUCUUACCAAAAUGGCAAGAAAGGCAUUGAAGGAUGCAAAGGACAAUAUAGAGAGAGUUUUGAAUUCAGGAAAAGUGGCGGAUCUGGCUGGCGAGGCCAAAA